This 253-nucleotide ribosomal RNA is filed under the name uncultured bacterium. Its description in RNAcentral is "partial 16S ribosomal RNA". It matches the Rfam family "Bacterial small subunit ribosomal RNA", at positions 524 to 776 of the family's 1533-position model. The record is from RNAcentral.
UACAGAGGUCCCGAGCGUUGUUCGGAUUCACUGGGCGUAAAGGGUGCGUAGGUGGCGACGAAAGUUCGAUGUGAAAUCUCCGGGCUUAACCCGGAAAAGGCAUUGAAAACUAUGUUGCUUGAGGUUUGGAGGGGGGACUGGAAUUCUUGGUGUAGCAGUGAAAUGCGUAGAUAUCAAGAGGAACACCAGUGGCGAAGGCGGGUCCCUGGACAACACCUGACACUGAGGCACGAAAGCUAGGGGAGCAAACAGG